RNAcentral lists this ribosomal RNA (531 nucleotides) under uncultured Parvibaculum sp. Its description in RNAcentral is "bacterial SSU rRNA". It matches the Rfam family "Bacterial small subunit ribosomal RNA", at positions 238 to 795 of the family's 1533-position model. Lineage: Bacteria; Pseudomonadati; Pseudomonadota; Alphaproteobacteria; Hyphomicrobiales; Parvibaculaceae. The record is from RNAcentral.
GUAAGGCUAGUUGUUGCGUAAAUGCUACCAGACGACGAUGCAUAGCUGGUCUGAGAGAUGAUCAGUCACACUGGGACUGAGACCGGCCCAGACUCUACGGAGCAGGCAGUUGGGAAUCUGGACAUGGGGGAAACCCUGAUCCCAGCCAUGCCGCGUGAGUGAUGAAGGCCCUAGGGUUGUAAAGCUCUUUCGCCAGGGAAGAUAAUGACGGUACCUGGAUAAGAAGCCCCGGCUAACUCCGUGCCAGCAGCCGCGGUAAUACGGAGGGGGCUAGCGUUGUUCGGAAUUACUGGGCGUAAAGCGCACGUAGGCGGCUAUCCAAGUUGGGGGUGAAAUCCCUGGGCUUAACCCAGGAACUGCCUUCAAAACUGGAUGGCUAGAGUCCGAGAGAGGUGAGUGGAAUUUCCAGUGUAGAGGUGAAAUUCGUAGAUAUUGGAAAGAACACCAGUGGCGAAGGCGGCUCACUGGCUCGGUACUGACGCUGAGGUGCGACAGCGUGGGGAGCAAACAGGAUUAGAUACCCUGGUAGUC